RNAcentral lists this ribosomal RNA (447 nucleotides) under uncultured bacterium. RNAcentral's name for it is "bacterial SSU rRNA". It matches the Rfam family "Bacterial small subunit ribosomal RNA", at positions 328 to 789 of the family's 1533-position model. The record is from RNAcentral.
UUACCAGACUCCUACGGGAGGCAGCAGUGGGGAAUAUUGGGCAAUGGGCGCAAGCCUGACCCAGCAACGCCGCGUGAAGGAAGAAGGCUUUCGGGUUGUAAACUUCUUUUCUGGGGGACGAAGAAAGUGACGGUACCCCAGGAAUAAGCCACGGCUAACUACGUGCCAGCAGCCGCGGUAAUACGUAGGUGGCAAGCGUUAUCCGGAUUUAUUGGGUGUAAAGGGCGUGUAGGCGGGAAUGCGAGUCAGAUGUGAAAACUAUGGGCUCAACCCAUAGCCUGCAUUUGAAACUGUAUUUCUUGAGUGCUGGAGAGGCAAUCGGAAUUCCGUGUGUAGCGGUGAAAUGCGUAGAUAUACGGAGGAACACCAGUGGCGAAGGCGGAUUGCUGGACAGUAACUGACGCUGAGGCGCGAAAGCGUGGGGAGCAAACAGGAUUAGAUACCAAU